UACGUAGGGUGCAAGCGUUGUCCGGAAUUAUUGGGCGUAAAGGGCUCGUAGGCGGUUUGUCGCGUCGGGAGUGAAAACUCAGGGCUUAACCCUGAGCCUGCUUCCGAUACGGGCAGACUAGAGGUAUGCAGGGGAGAACGGAAUUCCUGGUGUAGCGGUGAAAUGCGCAGAUAUCAGGAGGAACACCGGUGGCGAAGGCGGUUCUCUGGGCAUUACCUGACGCUGAGGAGCGAAAGUGUGGGGAGCGAACAGG
This 253-nucleotide ribosomal RNA is filed under the name uncultured bacterium. RNAcentral's name for it is "partial 16S ribosomal RNA". It matches the Rfam family "Bacterial small subunit ribosomal RNA", at positions 524 to 776 of the family's 1533-position model. The record is from RNAcentral.